CAUGGCGAGCCUGCCGUUCUUGAUCUCCUUGAGCUUGAGCUCAUUCAUCUCCUUCUCGGUCUUGCCGAAGCCGAGCGGGUUGAAGAGGGGCCCGCCGGGGUAGGACGGGUCGCCGGAGCCGGCGAGGAACUUCUCGAGGCCGAGGAAGUACUGCUUGCCCAUGGAGCCCGGGUUGUACCAGUCCUGGAGGCGGCGGUGCUCGGCGAAGCCCAUGAGCGCCAUGUUGAAGACGAAGAGCGUGUAGGAGUCGGCCCA
RNAcentral lists this long non-coding RNA (255 nucleotides) under Zea mays. RNAcentral describes it as "long non-coding RNA (ZMAY_LNC005532)". Lineage: Eukaryota; Viridiplantae; Streptophyta; Magnoliopsida; Poales; Poaceae. The record is from RNAcentral.